GCAGACCUACAGGCAGCCACGAGCUGCUCCCAUCGCACAGCUGUCGAGGAAUCACGGGCAUGCAGCUGGCAGGGCACGAGCAGCAGCACCGCUGCCAGGCUGGGACAGGAGGGUGACAGCACACGGGACAGGAGAACGCACAAGGGGGGAUGGAAAUCCUGUGACAGCAGCUCGUGUGGAGCCAAGGAGGGGAGGGCGCAGCACCAGGGAGGCUAUGGGGAGUCCUGCUUCCCUCCUGCCUACUGCGCCCACGCAGCCACUCACGUGUUUGGCCUCAAUGCCGGCCAGCUGAACACGGCCCCGGCUCUCAUCCACGUUUUCUUCUUGCUGAGCCUUCCUGCACUCAGCCAGCUCCCUUUCCUUCUCGGCCAUGAUCAGCCUGGUCAGGUAAGAGUGCAGCUCGUUCUCUUGGUUGAUCCGCUUCUCCUCGAUGCUGUUCCAGCGCUUCUUCUUGGCGAUGCGCAGCGCACUGGGGAUGUCGUCCCCAAAAUUCAGCCUCUGCUCCUUGGCGAGGUUAUAGGCUCUCUGCAGGUUGGCGAUGGCCUCGUCGUAGUUCUCCAUCUCCAUCUGGCACUGCCCCAGGAAGAAGUGAGCUUUGACCGACUGCCCAUCCAGCUCCAGAGCCCGCUUGCAGUCUGCCAGUGCCUUGUCGUGCUGCUGCAUCUUCAGGUAGCACAGCGCCCGGUUGGUGUAAUACACGGCCACCAAAGGGUUCCGGUUGAUGGCGCGGCCAUAGGCGGCAGCGGCCUCGGGGUACUUGCGGCCGCCGAAGAGCCGGUUGCCCUGCUCCUUGUGCUCCUGCGCGCUGUGGCUCUUCUCGGGGCUGCCUCCCCCCGCUCCCGGCCCCGCGGCCCCCGGCCCGACCGCACCUCCGCCGCCCUCCCGCUCCCGUUCCUCCUUCCCCUUCAUGGCCCGGCCCGACCCGGCCGCUCGGGGCCGGCGGCUCAGCUGCCUCCGGCCGCGCACUGCGACAGCGCCGCACCGCCCCUCCACUUCCGGGGCGGGGCUUCACCCG
This 1015-nucleotide long non-coding RNA is filed under the name Gallus gallus (chicken). The record is from RNAcentral. Lineage: Eukaryota; Metazoa; Chordata; Aves; Galliformes; Phasianidae.